AAGCACCGGGUGGCGUCUCCGCUGUAGUGUUCUGAGUUCAAGUUGCCUCGGAAGUCCCAGUUGGGGAUACGCUCUCGCGCACCAGAGUUGGAUGCUGAAACUUGCAGUCACACAAGGACUUGAACCUAGAGCUUUUCUAAAGCCCGUACUCUUUCCAGUACCCUGAGCCAGGGGAGCCAGCGGGCAGAAAUGACGUGUGAGGUACCCUCUCUCUCUUCACUUCCAUGUGAUCUGUUACUCAUUUUGUCAAGACAUCCUGGGUCCCAGAGACCACUCUUAUUCCCAGGUGUGUGACCUCCUCCUACAGACUACAGUGGGAAAGACACCAUCUCCAGGUGCCAGGUGCUACACAAGAUACUGGCUAUAGCAGCGAACAGGACAGCCCGUCUCAUCCUCAUGGAGGUCACAGGACAAUGAGAAGAAAGACUUUUUUAUUUUUAUUUUUUUGAGACGGAGUUUUGCUCUUGUUGCCGAGGCUGGAGUGCAGUGGUGUGAUCUCGACUCACUGCAACCUCCGCCUCCCAAGUUCAAGCAAUUAUCCUGCCUCAGGCCUCUUGAGUAGCUGGGAUUACAGGCACCUGCCACCACUCCUGGCUAAUUUUUUGUAUUUUUAGUAGAGACAGGGGUUUCAUCAUGUUGGCCAGGCUGGUCUCGAACUCCUGACCUCAGGUGAUCCACCCACCUCGGCCUCCCAAAGUGCAGGGAUUACAGGCAUGAGCCAUCGAACCCGGCCCAAGAAGAAAGACAUUGAACAAGUAAUUACAGGGUAUUGGGUGUUAUGAAAGAAAAGCAUGGUACUGUAUAAUGAGGUCAUCUAAUUUAGUCUGGGGUGACAAGGAAUGCCUACUAAAGAAGGUAUCGUUUAAGACAUACCUGGGGAAUAGCGGUAGUGAAAAUAGAAGCUCCAGAAAUGCAGGGACCAUGGCUGACAUGUUUACCAUGCCAGUGUCUGGCAUGGAAGAGGCCCAAUUCCUUUGGUUGAAAGGAUGAAGUAAUCUAGCUGAAUAAAGGGUGUGUGCGUGCA
Long non-coding RNA from Homo sapiens (human), 1024 nucleotides. Ensembl annotates it as HLA complex group 20. Its record names the gene HCG20. NCBI's taxonomy places the organism in Eukaryota, Metazoa, Chordata, Mammalia, Primates, Hominidae. The record is from Ensembl.